UAGAAGUCAUAUGUUAAGGAUGGCAGAGCUGAAAGAUGGAAGAAUCCUGAAUCCCUGAACCACCCAUUGUAGGAGAGCCACCUGCCAAGUAGGAACACCUGUUUUGGGUUUUAAAUUCCUCGAGGUCUGAACAAGAACCACUGACGCAGAACGUGAAAACUAGAAGCGUUCAUUAGCGACCACCCUUUGUUUGACUGAUGAGGAAAUCAAGGCUGAUGGUGACUUUCUGAGAUGCUAUUUCUGGCAAUUGUGGUGGUAAAUCCUUCAACAUUUGGAUCACUGAGUUCUUCGAUUUUCUUCCUUCUCUUCAGAAAUUGAAGUUGUAAAAUUGUUUGAGAAGUUUUAUCAGUUCCUGGAUGCAUUUGAAUAACACUAACCAGAGGACCAAGUAAACUAUAUAGUUUGGAUGCAUUUGAAAACUACAUAUAUAGUUUGAAACUAC
This 442-nucleotide long non-coding RNA is filed under the name Homo sapiens (human). RNAcentral's name for it is "HSALNT0376437". The record is from RNAcentral. Lineage: Eukaryota; Metazoa; Chordata; Mammalia; Primates; Hominidae.